UUCCUCAGUUCUAGGUCC
Molecule: small RNA, 18 nt
Filed under: Bombyx mori (domestic silkworm)
Lineage: Eukaryota; Metazoa; Arthropoda; Insecta; Lepidoptera; Bombycidae
Description: ovarian small RNA-37301
Source: RNAcentral